This is a long non-coding RNA of Trichomycterus rosablanca, 189 nucleotides long. RefSeq lists it as uncharacterized. The transcript is spliced from 3 exons. Lineage: Eukaryota; Metazoa; Chordata; Actinopteri; Siluriformes; Trichomycteridae. The record is from RefSeq and is a predicted model, not a curated record.
UUAUUAGACUGUGUUUAAGAGGUAUUCAGGAUCUUUUCAUUGGUGCUUAUAUCUCUCUCGUUGCUGCCACCACCCCAUCGGCAGAUCAAGGAAAACCCAGGCUCAAGAACUCAGCACAGUUGUGCCUGGAGCUCCAGAAUGAUGGCCUCAAGCUCUUUCUUUUCCUGUUGGCUCUGGAUUUGCAGCUCU